This 1347-nucleotide long non-coding RNA is filed under the name Numida meleagris (helmeted guineafowl). Its description in RNAcentral is "lncRNA (ENSNMEG00000013731.1)". The record is from RNAcentral. Lineage: Eukaryota; Metazoa; Chordata; Aves; Galliformes; Numididae.
CUAAGCGCAAAUUUUAGCUAUUUUUUUUAAAUAGCAUUCAUAUUUUCUUUUCUUUCCCUUCAUUUUAAGAAAAUCAAACAAAAAAUCCCCACACUCCAUCAUCAUUGCUUGCUUCUGCAGACAUGCACAUUGGCAGACUCCUCACUGAAAAGCCAGGUGACCAAAAUGAAGACAUCAAUCUGCCACUACCACCUAUAAGAACCAGGGGAGGAGCAGUCAAGCUGUCAGUAAGGUGCAUUUCAUCCCACCCAUGAUGGAUGCUUCAAGUAAACACAGUAAAGAAGGACCUGAAGCCCGCUGGAGAUUUACUACUCUGAGCACUUACACUUUGCCCACAAAACCAGAUAUGGCACAGAUAUUAGCAUUAUUCUGGUCACAUCCUUAAGAACACAGCAAUCUCAAAUUUAAAUGAUAGGUUAUUUUAAAGACUUUGUAUCACCGCAAAAUAUGUUUCCUGUCACAUACACCACUCUGGCAUCUUCAUCCCAAUGUCAAACUUUCACUUCUACCCAAGUAACUUUCACUCUUCCUUCACUGUAAUGUUUUCUUCUCCCUCCAUAUCUUAUUUCAGCAAUCACAGCAAACUACACAAAUAUUCUUAAUGUCCUUGUAUUUCCACACCCCUUGCUUCACCCCUCCACUACCUCUCCUCACAGCUGGGUCCAUUAACUCCUAUUUCUCCAACUCUGGCAACAGUUACUGCACGAGCUGCUCAGUUUGAAAUACAACACAUUUGUGAGCACACGCUAACAAGACGUGUGAGCCUCCUUGACACCACUUCAUGACUUCUGGACAGCCAGUUAGAUGGCCACGAGGAUGAUGAACCAUGGAAAAGGACCACACUGUUCAACAGUAACAUGGCUGCCUAUCACAGCAAAAACUCAAGUGAAUGAGCAUUGCAGAAGAGCAUGUUGUUAUAGAAGCGUUAUCAAGAUGUAACUUCAAAGAGUCACAAAGUAAGUGUGGUGUACAUAUAUUUAUUCAUUUAUAUGAACCUGUGUAUUAUUUAUUAAUAUAGCACACAAAGAGGAAAGAGACAAUUCAAAUAUUAGAAAGCUCCACAGGUAACAAAACUUCAUCUAGAAUUGAUGCAAAUAUAUUGAGCUUAGCUAUCGGAAUAAUUAAGUUUCAAUGCCAAGCAAUUCAGGGUAGAGAUAACUUAAAUCACACUGAUGUGACUGAAUAGUUUUUGGCUGAGGUCACAUAUCUAAGGCUUGCUGUCUGCUUAAACAGUUCACCACAGAGCACUUCUUAUCACAUACUGUUUGUGCGACACAUGAGAAAAUACUUUCACUCCUCUGAAAGCUUACAGCACCUAAUCUAAUUUAGAAAUUAUGGCUGCAGCAG